This 1041-nucleotide long non-coding RNA is filed under the name Prunus persica (peach). RNAcentral describes it as "long non-coding RNA (PPER_LNC002639)". Lineage: Eukaryota; Viridiplantae; Streptophyta; Magnoliopsida; Rosales; Rosaceae. The record is from RNAcentral.
GGUGUUUCCUCAUUUCUUACUUCAGGAAUAUAAACCCUCCCAUUAGCUGUUGCACAUUCAUCACUCUCUGAGCCCCCAGACAUUUUAUCUACGUAUAUUAUUGAUCCACUUCUAUAUUACUGCAUAGCAAUUAUUCAUUCAUUAAUCAGUCAUUACUGCAUCACAACAUAUCAAUGCAUUCCACUUACACAAAACAUUGCCCAAAUUGACACAAAAUACGCAUAGUCUAACUUCCGAUUACACAAAACACAAGCAAAAUUUCAUAAAAGUUACGUCAUCUCUUGUGAAAUAAUCUGGUCAAAAUAACAUUAGAACCAACAUGUUCAACUAAGAACACAAAUGUAAUUCAAACCACCAAUUACAGAACUUCACCCAAUAUCCUCUCCAACUGCUUACUCCUAAUGUCAUUAAGCCUAAGUUUAGGUUCUUUUACCUACAUUUCAUAAUUUUCCACCCCGACCAACAACAAUGAACUAAGUAUAUUGAAUAUUCAUAAGGAAAUGACACAUUAUUGAUGCCACAAAUGACGAAUUUCCCACCCUCACAAAAAAUAAACCUAACCCAAUAAAAUCAAUCCAGCAAGUGAACUUACCUCUCAAAAUCAAUCGGGAGCUCUGAAGUCAGUCAGCUUGAAAGAAUGUGGUGGACAUUAGAGAAGACUCUUUGGUAUUUCAGACUCCAUCUCUACCAAAAUCGAGGAACAACUGCUGCUGCGGCUUCUAGCUACAAAAACAGAUAUGCUACUUUGCUUUCAUCUGGAAUCUUGUCAGCUGAAUGAAAAAGAGAAGGGGUUUUCACUUGAGCCAUAGAAUCAAAACAGGGCAACAGCUAGGUAAGAGCCAUUCUUCGUAAUACCCAGGAUACCAUAGAUCGCAGGCCUCCCAACGAGCUAAUGACAGUGGAGUGACUAUAAGGUUUGGGAGAUUUGGAUCCUUCUAAUUGUGGGUUUGCUUUACAUUCAAAAAGAAAGGAUUGUGUUCUUCAGUUUUUCACAGAGAGGGAAAGAGGGGAACAACUGAAGUUGGGUUUCUAACGGGUUAG